ACUCCUGCGGGAGGCAGCAGUGGGGAAUAUUGCACAAUGGGCGCAAGCCUGAUGCAGCCAUGCCGCGUGUAUGAAGAAGGCCUUCGGGUUGUAAAGUACUUUCAGCGGGGAGGAAGGCAAUACGGUUAAUAACCGUGUUGAUUGACGUUACCCGCAGAAGAAGCACCGGCUAACUCCGUGCCAGCAGCCGCGGUAAUACGGAGGGUGCAAGCGUUAAUCGGAAUUACUGGGCGUAAAGCGCACGCAGGCGGUCUGUCAAGUCGGAUGUGAAAUCCCCGGGCUCAACCUGGGAACUGCAUUCGAAACUGGCAGGCUUGAGUCUUGUAGAGGGGGGUAGAAUUCCAGGUGUAGCGGUGAAAUGCGUAGAGAUCUGGAGGAAUACCGGUGGCGAAGGCGGCCCCCUGGACAAAGACUGACGCUCAGGUGCGAAAGCGUGGGGAGCAAACAGGAUUAGAUACCCCUGUAGUCCCAUGA
Molecule: ribosomal RNA, 474 nt
Filed under: uncultured organism
Description: partial 16S ribosomal RNA
Rfam family: Bacterial small subunit ribosomal RNA
Source: RNAcentral